RNAcentral lists this ribosomal RNA (510 nucleotides) under uncultured bacterium. RNAcentral describes it as "bacterial SSU rRNA". It matches the Rfam family "Bacterial small subunit ribosomal RNA", at positions 21 to 518 of the family's 1533-position model. The record is from RNAcentral.
GGCUCAGGAUAAACGCUGGCGGCGUGCUUAACACAUGCAAGUCGAACGGAGUACUUCUCCCGAGACCGAGGAAGCUUGCUUCCAAAGAAUCAUUGAAGUACUUAGUGGCGGACGGGUGAGUAACGCGUGGGUAACCCGCCUCACACAGGGGGAUAACAGUUGGAAACGACUGUUAAUACCGCAUAAGCGCACAGUACCGCAUGGUACAGUGUGAAAAACUCCGGUGGUGUGAGAUGGACCCGCGUCUGAUUAGCUAGUUGGUGAGGUAACGGCCCACCAAGGCGACGAUCAGUAGCCGGCCUGAGAGGGUGUACGGCCACAUUGGGACUGAGACACGGCCCAAACUCCUACGGGAGGCAGCAGUGGGGAAUAUUGCACAAUGGGGGAAACCCUGAUGCAGCGACGCCCGCGUGAGUGAUGAAGUAUCUCGGUAUGUAAAGCUCUAUCAGCAGGGAAGAUAAUGACGGUACCUGACUAAGAAGCACCGGCUAAAUACGUGCCAGCCGCCGC